RNAcentral lists this unclassified non-coding RNA (294 nucleotides) under Hevea brasiliensis (rubber tree). Lineage: Eukaryota; Viridiplantae; Streptophyta; Magnoliopsida; Malpighiales; Euphorbiaceae. The record is from RNAcentral.
GGGCGGUGGCACUCUCUUCGGCUGAAUUCUUAUACCCUGGAGAUGCUUCCUCCUCCCUCUGAUGGCAGUAGAUCUCCCUUCGACCAAAUCUACUUAAAUGCUCAAAAGGCCAUGCACACCUUCCGGUAGACAUAGAUUAACGAAGGUUCCUCCCUAAAAGCCCAUUAGAUCUGCAACCACCACAAUACAAUCAACAAAAGGAGAAAACUAAUGCACAAACAUCGGCCACCCAAAGAUUUCCUAACUAGUCAUCACUAAAAACUAUCUACAAUCCAAUAAGAGGGGAAACCCACU